Molecule: ribosomal RNA, 552 nt
Filed under: uncultured bacterium
Lineage: Bacteria
Description: bacterial SSU rRNA
Rfam family: Bacterial small subunit ribosomal RNA
Source: RNAcentral
ACUGAAUAGAUACCCGGGUAGUCCUGGCCGUAAACGAUGGAUACUAGGUGUCGGGGGUAUCGACCCCCCGGUGCCGCAGCUAAACGCACUAAAGUAUCCCGCCUGGGGAGUACGGCCGCAAGGUUGAAACUCAAAGGAAUUGACGGGGGCCCGCACAAGCGGUGGAGCAUGUUGUUUAAUACGUCACUAACCGUAGAACCUUACCAGGGCUUGACAUCUCCGGACAGUCCGUGAAAGCGGAUCUUCCCCGCAAGGGACUGGAAGACAGGUGUUGCAUGGCUGUCGUCAGCUCGUGUCGUGAAAAUGUUGGGUUAAGUCCCGCAACGAGCGCAACCCUCACCCAUGUUGCCAGCGGGUCAUGCCGGGAACUCUUGGGGAACUGCCUGGGCAACCGGGGAGGAAGGUGAGGACGACGUCAAGUCAGCAUGGCCCUUACGCCCUGGGCUACAAACAUGCUACAAUGGACGGCAGACAAAGGGAUCCGAGGCCGCGAGGCGGAGGCAAUCUCAAAAACUCCGUUCCCAGUUCAGAUCGCAGGCUGCAACUCGCCUG